Molecule: long non-coding RNA, 1388 nt
Filed under: Zonotrichia albicollis (white-throated sparrow)
Lineage: Eukaryota; Metazoa; Chordata; Aves; Passeriformes; Passerellidae
Description: lncRNA (ENSZALG00000004902.1)
Source: RNAcentral
AAUUGCUGCUCCAGGUGGGAUUCCUGAUCCAGAUGAGGAAUGUCCAGCCCAGGCUGGGAGUUCCCACUCCGGGCUGCCCUGCUGUGUUGCAGUCGGUGUCGGCGCUGCUGGANUCUGCUGUGAGAUGUGACUAGGAAUAAGCAAAGCAGGCCUCUACUUAGAAAUAAAGAAGACAAAACUUUAUUAACUAGCAUACAACUAUAUGUAAAAAGAAACACCCAGAAAGAAUGAGAACUUUCUAAAAACAUUUCUGUCCCAGGUUGGGGUUUCCCUGUCCCAGCUGUGCACUCCCUGUCCCAGCUGUGCAUUCCCUGCCCAGCUGUGCAUUCCCUGUCCCAGCUGUGCAUUCCCUGUCCAGCUGUGCAUUCCCUGCCCAGCUGUGCAUUCCCUGUCCCAGGUUGGGUUUCCCUGUCCCAGGUUGGGUUUCCCUGUCCCAGCUGUGAAUUCCCUGUCCCAGCUGUGCAUUCCCUGUCCCAGGUUGGGAUUUCCCUGUCCCAGAUGUGCAUUCCCUGUCCCAGAUGUGCAUUCCCUGUCCCAGCUGUGCAUUCCCUGCCCAGCUGUGCAUUCCCUGUCCCAGGUUGGGUUUCCCUGUCCCAGGUGUGCAUUCCCUGUCCCAGGUGUGCAUUCCCUGUCCAGCUGUGCAUUCCCAGUCCCAGCUGUGAAUUCCCUGUCCCAGGUUCGGAUUUCCCUGUCCCAGCUGUGCAUUCCCUGUCCCAGCUGUGCAUUCCCUGUCCCAGGUGGGAUUUCCCUGUCCCAGGUUGGGGUUUCCCUGCCCAGCUGUGCAUUCCCUGUCCAGCUGUGCAUUCCCUGUCCCAGCUGUGCAUUCCCUGUCCCAGGUUCGGAUUUCCCUGUCCCAGCUGUGCAUUCCCUGUCCAGCUGUGCAUUCCCUGUCCCAGGCUGGGUUUCCCUGUCCAGCUGUGCACUCCCUGUCCCAGCUGUGCAUUCCCUGUCCAGCUGUGCAUUCCCUGUCCAGCUGUGCAUUCCUGUCCCCGCAGAUGGCAGCCGGGGCUGUGGAGGCCAGCGCCAAGAUCUACGCCAUGCGCGUGGAUUCCUUGCACGCCGAAACCUUCAGGGUCCUGGGCCAGCUGGGCAAGCAGCCCCGCGCUGCCCGGGACACAGAGAGCCCCCAGGAAGACUCCAGCCCAGCCCCUGAGGCUGCCAGGAAGGCUCAGCCAAAGAAGAAGCAGCAAGGCUACAAAACCAUCGAGCAGAACCUGAGCAACAUCAACGCGCCCGAGGGCAGCCAGAGGCCUGAGGUGGGCCUGGGCUGAUUCAUUCUGGAUUCCCAUUUCCCAGUAUCCAUCUCCGUUCCCAGAUUCCCAUUCCCCACUUCCCACCUCCAUUCCUGAAUUCCCUUCUCCAUUCCCUGCUUCCCCUCUCAAUUCCCC